Molecule: long non-coding RNA, 1595 nt
Organism: Monodelphis domestica (gray short-tailed opossum)
Lineage: Eukaryota; Metazoa; Chordata; Mammalia; Didelphimorphia; Didelphidae
Source: Ensembl
UAGAAAGAAUACCUGUAAUUAUACACAUUAUAAUUUUACUUAGCCUUAUGGAUUAAAAAACAAAAUAAAAAACAAAAAACCUCUCCACAUUAGUCCUUUUUAUUUUUUCCUUUCCUUUCUUUUUUUUUUAAAGACAUAAGACACCUUCUGUCUUAUGCUCUAUCAAUUCCAAAACAUAAGAGUGGUAAGGGCUAAGCAAUGGGGGUUAAGUGACUUGCCUAGGGUCACACGGCUAGGAUAUAUCUGAGGUCAAAUUUGAAUCCAGGACCUCCAGUCUCCAUGGCUGGCUCUCUACCCACUGAGCCACCUAUCUGCUCCAAUUCCAGUUUUGCUUUGUGCCAAGUACACUAACAGCUGGGGAUAUAAAAACAAUUUAAUUACAGUUUCUUCUCCUUAAGGAGAGUACAUUCUAGUCUAAGGUAAUCACAGGUAUAGGAAAGUGGGAAACAGUGUCUAGGAAGGAUUGUUUUUAGUUUGGAAAGGUACAUGGAUUGUGAGUGGAGCCAGUUUAUUGAUAUAAUAGGGAUAUUUGCAUAAUUAUGGUUCUAAAGCUGGAAGGCAGGGUAGGGGUGGAGAGACUAGAUGGUGAUUGAGAAGAUGUCCAGUGGAGUAAGUACAAUAUGGUGAAGCAUGGGUAGGAUCAGAUUGGUAUAAUAGACAUUCAACCAGGAGAGGGAGGCCUCAUAAAAUACUGAGCUUUUCCCCUGACCACUUUCCAGAGCACUUGGGGAUUCACCAGAAGUCUCCUGAGGAGUGUCUUUUAUCAAGAGGACAAAGCGACUCUCUUGUCUAUAGUGGCCAGGCUACAGACUCAGAAUGAUUGUGUGACCACUAUUAUCUUGUAAUGGGGAAAUUUAAGGCUUCUGGGAGAAGGUUAUAAUAUAGUAAUGGUUACAAAUGUGGCUACAAGAUUUAUAUAAUAUUUAACAAUGGCCGCCAAGGAAUUUACUUAUGAAAUUCCUAAAAUGAAACACUCAAGUCAGAAUGAGGUUUAUGGAGGUUUAAUCACACUGGGAGUAGGGAAAAGGUUAGGGAGAGAAGGAGAGAAGAGAAAGGGGAAGAGGUUAGGGAGAGAAGGAGAGAAGAGAAAGGGGAAGAGGCUACUCAACCUCUGACCAAGGCAGAGGGAGUUUAGGCCUAAAGGCCCAGGUGGAAAGAACCAGUCCUUAACUCACGUGAUCGAUCUGAAGGAAAGCUGUCUGCGGGCGUCCUCUCUCUCCAAGCUCCUAACACCCACUCCCCCUAGCUCUCUCCACAGGAAGUUCCGCCAAUCUCAGAGGCUGUUCCCUACCUCUCUUCCUGUGUCUCACAAAUCCAAUGGUUGGCUCUAGCUUGGCUUAGGACAGCCCAGGUGGGCAGUUAGUUAUUUCUGAUUAGUCAUUGACUAGCGCAUGCCCGUGUAGGUGGGUGUGCACAAUUUUUGGGUGCUAGACCAAGAUGGAGACUUUUAAAAUUCACAAUCUGGAGCCACAGGAUAUGAGGUACAGUACAAGGGGCAGUGGAUUUAGAAUCAGAGGACCUGGGUAAAAUUCUGUCUCUAACAUUUCCUAUUUAUGUAACCUUGGACAAGUCAGCCUCUCUGGGCCUUAAUUUCC